CUCGGCCUCAGAUCAGACAAGGCUACCCGCUGAAUUUAAGCAUAUUAAUAAGCGGAGGAAAAGAAACUAACAAGGAUUCCCCCAGUAACGGCGAGUGAAGCGGGAUCAGCUCAAAUUUAAAAUCUCCGUUGCUUGCAACGGCGAAUUGUAGUUUCGAGAAGCGCUUUCUAGGCGGACCGGCUGCGCCUAAGUUGCUUGGAACAGCACGUCAUAGAGGGUGACAACCCCGUCUGUGGCGUAGGCGGCCGCUCACGAUGUGCUUUCGAAGAGUCGGGUUGUUUGGGAAUGCAGCCCAAAAUGGGUGGUAAACUCCAUCUAAAGCUAAAUAUUGGCACGAGACCGAUAGCGAACAAGUACCGUGAGGGAAAGAUGAAAAGGACUUUGGAAAGAGAGUUAAAAAGUACGUGAAACCGUUAAAAGGGAAACGAAUGGAGCUAGCAAUGCACCCAGCGAGAUUCAGCUGGUUGGUGGAUCGGCCGCGAUGUGUGCAGAUCUGAAUUGACUGCGGCUUCGUGGUUCGAGCUCCCUGCCAUCGCACUUCUCGCGGGCGCGCGUCAACAUGGGUUGGGACCGGGUCUAAACGGCACCGGCAAGGUAAGUCCGCACCUCCGGGUACGUACUGUUCUAGGCCGGCGCUCUCGCGGCCCGGACCCGACCGAGGCGAUGCAGCACAUGCCUCUUGUGGCUGGGGUCCCGUUCUUCCGGUUGGUUGUCGACUGUGGUGGACUGCGUGCAGUGCACCGCGACUGCUGCCGGUCGCUUGGGCGGUGACUUCGCAUGAUGUGCUUAGGAUGUUGGCGGUCAUAUGGCUUCAUCCGACCCGUCUUGAAACACGGACCAAGGAGUCUACCAUAUGCGCGAGUCUUUGGGUGAUUGAAACCCGCGGGCACAAUGAAAGUGAAGGCGGCUCCGGCCUGCCGAGGUGAGAACCUCCCCUCUCGGGGUGGCGCAUCAUCGACCGACCUAUUCUACUCUUAGGAAGGUUUGAGUAAGAGCGCAUUUGUUGGGACCCGAAAGAUGGUGAACUAUGCCUGAAUAGGGUGAAGCCAGAGGAAACUCUGGUGGAGGCUCGUAGCGAUUCUGACGUGCAAAUCGAUCGUCAAAUUUGGGUAUAGGGGCGAAAGACUAAUCGAACUGUCUAGUAGCUGGUUCCCUCCGAAGUUUCCCUCAGGAUAGCAGGAGCUCUGUGCAGUUUUAUCAGGUAAAGCGAAUGAUUAGAGGUCUUAGGGUUAAAACAACCUUAACCUAUUCUCAAACUUUAAAUUGGUAAGAAGUCCGACUUGCUCGAUUGAAGCCGGACGUGGAAUGCGAGUUCCUAGUGGGCCAUUUUUGGUAAGCAGAACUGGCGAUGCGGGAUGAACCGAACGCCGAGUUAAGGUGCCAAAGUCGACGCUCAUCAGACCCCACAAAAGGUGUUGGUUGCUAUAGACAGCAGGACGGUGGCCAUGGAAGUCGGAAUCCGCUAAGGAGUGUGUAACAACUCACCUGCCGAAGCAACUAGCCCUGAAAAUGGAUGGCGCUCAAGCGUCGCACCUAUACUCGGCCGUCGGGGCAAACGCGAAGCCCCGACGAG
Molecule: ribosomal RNA, 1573 nt
Filed under: Bathypathes sp. n. 2 NB-2020
Lineage: Eukaryota; Metazoa; Cnidaria; Anthozoa; Antipatharia; Schizopathidae
Description: partial 28S ribosomal RNA
Rfam family: Eukaryotic large subunit ribosomal RNA
Source: RNAcentral